RNAcentral lists this ribosomal RNA (539 nucleotides) under uncultured bacterium. RNAcentral's name for it is "bacterial SSU rRNA". It matches the Rfam family "Bacterial small subunit ribosomal RNA", at positions 817 to 1354 of the family's 1533-position model. The record is from RNAcentral.
UAAGUGUUAGAGGGUUUCCGCCCUUUAGUGCUGCAGCAAACGCAUUAAGCACUCCGCCUGGGGAGUACGGCCGCAAGGCUGAAACUCAAAGGAAUUGACGGGGGCCCGCACAAGCGGUGGAGCAUGUGGUUUAAUUCGAAGCAACGCGAAGAACCUUACCAGGUCUUGACAUCUCCUGACAACCCUAGAGAUAGGGCGUUCCCCUUCGGGGGACAGGAUGACAGGUGGUGCAUGGUUGUCGUCAGCUCGUGUCGUGAGAUGUUGGGUUAAGUCCCGCAACGAGCGCAACCCUUGAUCUUAGUUGCCAGCAUUCAGUUGGGCACUCUAAGGUGACUGCCGGUGACAAACCGGAGGAAGGUGGGGAUGACGUCAAAUCAUCAUGCCCCUUAUGACCUGGGCUACACACGUGCUACAAUGGAUGGUACAAAGGGCUGCGAGACCGCGAGGUUAAGCGAAUCCCAUAAAACCAUUCUCAGUUCGGAUUGCAGGCUGCAACUCGCCUGCAUGAAGCCGGAAUCGCUAGUAAUCGCGGAUCAGCA